Long non-coding RNA from Juglans microcarpa x Juglans regia, 589 nucleotides. RefSeq lists it as uncharacterized. The record is from RefSeq and is a predicted model, not a curated record. The transcript is spliced from 3 exons. Lineage: Eukaryota; Viridiplantae; Streptophyta; Magnoliopsida; Fagales; Juglandaceae.
GAGACCUGCGUUUCAACACCCGUGAAGUCUGCAUUUCAAGACCCUCCCUCUCCAACUGUAUCGAAGGACUUGUGCACAGGCUUCAUCUGAAGAUUCUUGAUUUUCAUCUUUUCGGCACAACUACGAAGUUGACAACCAGAAUUAUGGCAACUAGUAGCGGUGUGUCCAUAAACUGGCCUUAUCCUUUGAGGGCAGAAGAUGAGGUGGUAUUGGGACGAAUACCUCAAUGAUAUUGUGGCAUUCCCUCCAAACUGCGGACAUUGGCCAAGCCCAACAGUUUUGGGAGGCGUUUUUUUAAUUGUCGACAUUAUAAGGGUCAAAAUCAGUGUGGAUUUUUCCAAUGGGUUGAUGUUGCAAUGUCGCUACCAAUUUGUUGUGAGCGGACGUUACAGUUAGCAGAACGAAGAAGUGAAAGGAUAGCGGUUGAACGUGCAAGAAUAGAAGACUCUAAGUUUCAAUCAAUGAAGAUGAAGUACAAAUGUGCCUUGAUCACAUCUUGGGUUUUAUUUAUUACCUUAUUAUGUUAAAAUUUAUAAACUUAAUGAUAAUGUAAAUCAGUUAAUGCUACCUUAAAUGAUUCCCCAUUAAA